CCUGCCUCAGCCUCCUGAUAGCUGGGACUACAGGUGCCCGCCACCACGCCCGGCUAAUUUUUUUGUAUUUUUAGUAGAGACGGGGUUUCGCCAUGUUAGCCAGGAUGGUCUCAAUCUGACCUCGUGAUCCGCCCACCUCGGCCUCCCAAAGUGGUGGGAUUACAGGUGUGAGCCACCUCCCCGGCUGGUGCUACACACUUUUAAAUGACCGGAUCUGUGAACUCAGAGCAAGAGCUCUCCUAUCACCAAAGGAAUGGCUCAAGCCAUUCAUGAAGAUCUGCCCCCACGAUCCAAACACUUCCCACUAGGCCCCAUCUCCAGCACUGAGGAUUCCAUCUCAACAUGACAUCUGAGUGAAAAAAAUUAAUCUAUAGAGAGGAUAAUCACACAAGGUUAUACAAGUGGUUCAUAGAAGUGGAAAUUAUGGAACUGUGGAUGUGACAGAGCCAUUGCUGAAAAAUAUGUUUGUUGGCAGGAUAUUACAUUCUGCUGGCCUAAAUGUCUUAGUUCCAGAAGAAGGACCGCUGCCACCAGGAGACACAACGAUUCCAUUAAACUGCAAGUUAAGAAUGCCAUCUGACCACUUUGGGCUCCUCCUACCUCUCACCAACAAGCUAAGAAGGGAGUUACAGUGUUGGCUGGAGUGAUUGACCCGGACUACCAAGUCUACUACUCCGCAAUGGAAGUAAGGAAGAGUAUGCGUGGAAUACAGGAGAUCCCUUAGGACAUCUCUUAAUAUUACCAUGCCCUGUGAUUAAGGUCAAUGGGAAACUAUAACAACCCAAUCCAGGCAGGUCUACAAAUGGCCCAGACCCUUCUGAAAUGAAGGGUUAGGUCACUCCAUCAGGUAAAAAAUCAUGACCUGCUGAGGUGCUUGCUGAAGGCAAAGGGAAUACAGAAUGGGUGGUAGAAGAAGGUAGUCAUCAAUACCAGCUGCAACCACAUGACCAGCUGCAGAAACGAGGACUAUAAUUGUCAUAAGCAUUUUCUCUUUAUUUUGUUAAGAACAUGUUUGGGGAUGUAUACAUUUGUACUAAGAUAAUAUCUUUAUUUUAUUUCCUUUAUUUUUCCUUUAUCAUGUGACAUAAGAUUUAUUGAUUUCAUAUCAACAUUUAAGUGUUGUUAACUUUAUGUAAUAGCAUUUAGGUUAAGGAUUAGUGUGCUUCCGAUUGUACGAAAGAUAGCUGUAUUAUGUUAGGUGUAAUGAUGACCUUACUAUUGUCUUUAUUUGAAGAUUAUAUAUGAUUUCAGGAGCUGUGUAUGGGUACAAGUUGACAAGGGGUUCAAGUUGACUUGGAAUGGUUAAUAUUGAGUGCUAAGUUGAUUGGAUUGAAGGAUGCAAAGUAUUGUUCCUGGGUGUGUCUGUGAGAGUGUUGCCAAAGGAGAUUAACAUUUGAGUCAGUGGACUGGGAGAGGCAGACCCACUCUUAAUCUGGGUGGGCACCAUCUAAUCAGCUGCCAGAGUGGCUAGAAUAAUGUAGGCAGAAGAAAGUGGAAUGGGGAAACUCGUUGAGUCUUCUGGCCUUCAUCUCUCUCCUGUGCUGAGUGCUUCCUGCCCUGGAACAUCAGACUCCAAGUUCUUCAGCUUUUGGACUCUUAGACUUACUGUGGUUUGCCAGGGGCUCCCAUGCCAUCGACCACAGACUGAAGGCUCCACUGUUGGCUUUCCCACUUUUGAGGUUUUGGAAACCAGACUGGCUUCCUUCCUCCUCAGCUUGCAGAUGGCCUGUUGUUGGACUUCACCUUGUGAUAGUCAAUACUCCUUAAUAAACUCCCUUUCCUAUGUAUAUCUAUCCUAUUAGUCCUGUCCCUCUAGAGAACCAUGACUAAUACAGUGUCAAAAGUGAAAAGUUGUUAAUCUCUGACAAAAUCAUGCCCUACAGUAGAAGUAGAUACAGAUCUAACAAAGACUACUGGUAUAAAAUUUUACAUAUUUUCUCAGGAGUGACAUUGACACCGUAUCUCAUUCCUAAAGCAUCAUAAUUGCUCUGAAUAUCAGAGUUUGACACAUUCAUGAUUUUUUUCUGUAAGAAAAAGUGAACAGAGGCUUACUGUAGAUUCACUAUGCUUAACAAAAGAGCUUUGAGAGAAUGGUGUAUAAGAAAUAAAAAUGAAAAGUACAGAAGUCUUUACCAAAAUAUGUCACUGUUUUCAAUACCAAGACAGUAAGAAAAGGAUGGUAAGCACAGUUAGGAGUGCUGCAAUGAGUUCAUCAAUUGUUCCUUGUAUAAAAUCAAAAUUAUACUUUUUCACAUAUGUGCCUUGAGUACCUCAAAAAAAGGAUGCUAGGUGUCUCCGUCUUUCUAGGUACUUGUUAAUUUUUUACCUGAGAGUAGAAGAUAUACAUUGAAUUUUUAUUUAACUGGCUUUUUAAAAGGUUUAAUUACCUACCCUUAACAUUUGGGUUCAUCUAACGGUGUUGUUAUUUUGGAUUAUUUAAUAUUACUUGUUGAGGGUAGCAAUUCUUGGCCAGUUAAGAAGUAUCCCUGGGCUUGUCCAUGUAAAGUUUGUUAGUUAAUUGCCAA
This 2525-nucleotide long non-coding RNA is filed under the name Homo sapiens (human). RNAcentral's name for it is "HSALNT0284239". The record is from RNAcentral. Lineage: Eukaryota; Metazoa; Chordata; Mammalia; Primates; Hominidae.